This 254-nucleotide ribosomal RNA is filed under the name uncultured bacterium. RNAcentral describes it as "partial 16S ribosomal RNA". It matches the Rfam family "Bacterial small subunit ribosomal RNA", at positions 524 to 776 of the family's 1533-position model. The record is from RNAcentral.
UACGGGGGGAGCAAGCGUUGUUCGGAUUUACUGGGCGUAAAGGGCGCGUAGGCGGCCACCGCAAGUCGACUGUGAAAUCUCCGGGCUUAACCCGGAAAGGUCAGCCGAUACUGCGGGGCUAGAGUGCAGAAGGGGCGGCUGGAAUUCUCGGUGUAGCGGUGAAAUGCGUAGAUAUCGAGAGGAACACCUGCGGCGAAGGCGGGUUGCUGGGCUGACACUGACGCUGAGGCGCGAAAGCUAGGGGAGCGAACGGG